Molecule: long non-coding RNA, 346 nt
Organism: Vidua chalybeata
Lineage: Eukaryota; Metazoa; Chordata; Aves; Passeriformes; Viduidae
Exons: 3
Source: RefSeq, a predicted model, not a curated record
GGAUAACCCCUCAGGAGCCACCAGCAGAAUGAUCUUCCAAGCCUGGAUGGAAGGAUGGGCUCCAGCUGUCCCCCAUGGACCCCCAAGAGACUUUCAGCCCCCUCUGAAGGGCUGUUUGCUGCCAUCAAUCCUGGAGGAGCCCGAGGAGCGACACCGGAGAUUUGUCCUAUUGAUUAACCCGGGAUGGAAGGAAUCAAACACCAGGAGCAGACAAACGCCUGGGAGGAGAACAGGGCAAUUGUCAGGAGCAAACAAGAGCAAAACGAGGAUGAUAUUAUUUUGCCUGAAAUUUGGAGUGGAUCGGACCCCUGCUGCUCCAAGCCCCUGCAAUGAAUGGCUGUAAACA